GCAUCCGUAGCUCAGCUGGAUAGAGUACUCAGCUACGAACCGAGCGGUCGGAGGUUCGAAUCCUCCCGGAUGCACCA
Molecule: transfer RNA, 77 nt
Filed under: Escherichia coli
Lineage: Bacteria; Pseudomonadati; Pseudomonadota; Gammaproteobacteria; Enterobacterales; Enterobacteriaceae
Also listed under: 3 other names
Description: tRNA-Arg
Rfam family: tRNA
About the family: Transfer RNA (tRNA) molecules are approximately 80 nucleotides in length. Their secondary structure includes four short double-helical elements and three loops (D, anti-codon, and T loops). Further hydrogen bonds mediate the characteristic L-shaped molecular structure. tRNAs have two regions of fundamental functional importance: the anti-codon, which is responsible for specific mRNA codon recognition, and the 3' end, to which the tRNAs corresponding amino acid is attached (by aminoacyl-tRNA synthetases). tRNAs cope with the degeneracy of the genetic code in two manners: having more than one tRNA (with a specific anti-codon) for a particular amino acid; and 'wobble' base-pairing, i.e. permitting non-standard base-pairing at the 3rd anti-codon position.
Source: RNAcentral